CGAGAACGCUUCAGCUUGCUGAAGUUAGUAAAGUGGCGAACGGGUGAGUAUCGCGUGGGUAAUCUACCCCCGAAUUGGGGAUAACCCGCCGAAAGGCGGGCUAAUACCGGAUAAUAUCUUAAAAACCUCGGUUUUAAAGAUCAAAGGUGGCCUCUACAUGUAAGCUUCUGUUUGGGGAUGAGCCCGCGUACCAUUAGCUUGUUGGUAGGGUAAUGGCCUACCAAGGCAACGAUGGUUAGUUGGUCUGAGAGGAUGAUCAGCCACACUGGAACUGACACACGGUCCAGACUCCUACGGGAGGCAGCAGUGAGGAAUUUUGCGCAAUGGGGGAAACCCUGACGCAGCAACGCCGCGUGAGUGAUGAAGGCUUUCGGGUCGUAAAGCUCUGUCAAGUGGGAAGAACCCACGUGGUGAUAAUACCACCAUGUGCUGACGGUACCACUGAAGGAAGCACCGGCUAACUCCGUGCCAGCAGCCGCGGUAAUACGGGGGGUGCAAGCGUUAUUCGGAAUUACUGGGCGUAAAGAGCGCGUAGGCGGCCUCUUAAGUCGGGUGUGAAAGCCCGGGGCUCAACCCCGGAAGUGCACUCGAAACUAUAAGACUUGAGUAUGGGAGAGGGA
This 620-nucleotide ribosomal RNA is filed under the name uncultured delta proteobacterium. RNAcentral describes it as "bacterial SSU rRNA". It matches the Rfam family "Bacterial small subunit ribosomal RNA", at positions 67 to 659 of the family's 1533-position model. Lineage: Bacteria; Deltaproteobacteria. The record is from RNAcentral.